RNAcentral lists this ribosomal RNA (500 nucleotides) under uncultured bacterium. RNAcentral describes it as "partial 16S ribosomal RNA". It matches the Rfam family "Bacterial small subunit ribosomal RNA", at positions 30 to 523 of the family's 1533-position model. The record is from RNAcentral.
AUUGAACGCUGGCGGCAUGCCUUACACAUGCAAGUCGAACGGCAGCACGGGAGCAAUCCUGGUGGCGAGUGGCGAACGGGUGAGUAAUGUAUCGGAACGUGCCCAGUCGUGGGGGAUAACGCAGCUAAAGCUGUGCUAAUACCGCAUACGAUCUAUGGAUGAAAGCGGGGGAUCGCAAGACCUCGCGCGAUUGGAGCGGCCGAUAUCAGAGUAGGUAGUUGGUGGGGUAAAGGCCCACCAAGCCGACGAUCUGUAGCUGGUCUGAGGGGACGACCAGCCACACUGGAACUGAGACACGGUCCAGACUCCUACGGGAGGCAGCAGUGGGGAAUUUUGGACAAUGGGCGCAAGCCUGAUCCAGCAAUGCCGCGUGCAGGAUGAAGGCCUUCGGGUUGUAAACUGCUUUUGUACGGAACGAAACGGUUCUCUCUAAUACAGGGGGCUAAUGACGGUACCGUAAGAAUAAGCACCGGCUAACUACGUGCCAGCAGCCGCCGUAA